GAUGAACGCUGGCGGCGUGCCUAAUACAUGCAAGUCGAGCGAACGGACGAGAAGCUUGCUUCUCUGAUGUUAGCGGCGGACAGGUGAGUAACACGUGGAUAACCUACCUAUAAGACUGGGAUAACUUCGGGAAACCGGAGCUAAUACCGGAUAAUAUUUUGAACCGCAUGGUUCAAAAGUGAAAGACGGUCUUGCUGUCACUUAUAGAUGGAUCCGCGCUGCAUUAGCUAGUUGGUAAGGUAGCGGCUUACCAAGGCAACGAUGCAUAGCCGACCUGAGAGGGUGAUCGGCCACACUGGAACUGAGACACGGUCCAGACUCCUACGGGAGGCAGCAGUAGGGAAUCUUCCGCAAUGGGCGAAAGCCUGACGGAGCAACGCCGCGUGAGUGAUGAAGGUCUUCGGAUCGUAAAACUCUGUUAUUAGGGAAGAACAUAUGUGUAAGUAACUGUGCACAUCUUGACGGUACCUAAUCAGAAAGCCACGGCUAACUACGUG
RNAcentral lists this ribosomal RNA (497 nucleotides) under uncultured bacterium. RNAcentral describes it as "partial 16S ribosomal RNA". It matches the Rfam family "Bacterial small subunit ribosomal RNA", at positions 28 to 507 of the family's 1533-position model. The record is from RNAcentral.